Long non-coding RNA from Nicotiana tabacum (common tobacco), 580 nucleotides. RefSeq lists it as uncharacterized. The record is from RefSeq and is a predicted model, not a curated record. Lineage: Eukaryota; Viridiplantae; Streptophyta; Magnoliopsida; Solanales; Solanaceae.
ACCCACUCCUCUCUAUCAGACUCCACUCUCAAUACAAUUAGGGCAACACGCCCACUUUCUCUGAUAGACUCCCACUCUCAAUGCUCUUUAACAAUGUGAGUUUUUUUACUUCAAUACAAAAAAUUGGGCGUGAAUCUAGGGUUAAUGUCUGAAAAAUAGAAGAAAACUUUCGAAAUUGCAAGAUUUUUGCUGCAGAACUCUGAAAUUCGAAGUCGUGUGUUGCUGCUCUGCAAGAUUCUCAGGCGAAAGGAUCAGUUUGACCUUGAACAUAUCAGCAGAUUUACAAUCAUUGUUCACGUGGAAUACUAAUGUGUGCAGAUCCCGGAUGCCGAUGUUGCUACGUUCGAUAGUUGCUGGAUUUGAAGGCGUACCCGCGUUCCUGCUAUAGCUGCCUCUUGUUCACAUAAAAUUCUAUUUAUGUGCUUUUCAAACAGAAGAUGUGUUUUCUUCAUAUCAGCUUUGUAAACUCUAAUUUUAGAAGCUCAUGAUUUGUACUACCAGUCCUUGGGAAAUGUAUAAAAUUUAGUUAACUUCUCUAUUUAAUUGUUUGGUUGACUUUAAUGGAAUUGGUUAGUUAUUA